CCUACGGGUGGCUGCAGUGGGGAAUAUUGGGCAAUGGGCGCAAGCCUGACCCAGCAACGCCGCGUGAAGGAAGAAGGCUUUCGGGUUGUAAACUUCUUUUGUCAGGGACGAAGCCAGUGACGGUACCUGACGAAUAAGCCACGGCUAACUACGUGCCAGCAGCCACGUUAAUACGUAGGUGGCAAGCUGUGUCCGGAUUUACUGGGUGUAAAGGGCGUGUAGCCGGGGUGACAAGUCAGAUGUGAAAUCCUGCGGCUUAACCGCAGUAAUGCAUUUGAAACUGUUGAUCUUGAGUACUGGAUAGGAAGAUGGAAUUCCUAGUGUAGCGGUGAAAUGCGGAGAUAUUAGGAGGAAAACCAGUGGCGAAGGCGGUCUGCUGGACAGCAACUGACGGUGAGGCGCGAAAGCGUGGGGAGCAAACAGGAUUAGAUACCCCAGUAGUC
Molecule: ribosomal RNA, 443 nt
Filed under: uncultured bacterium
Lineage: Bacteria
Description: partial 16S ribosomal RNA
Rfam family: Bacterial small subunit ribosomal RNA
Source: RNAcentral